Molecule: unclassified non-coding RNA, 253 nt
Filed under: uncultured Nitriliruptoraceae bacterium
Lineage: Bacteria; Bacillati; Actinomycetota; Nitriliruptoria; Nitriliruptorales; Nitriliruptoraceae
Description: contains 16S-23S intergenic spacer region
Rfam family: Bacterial small subunit ribosomal RNA
Source: RNAcentral
UACGUAGGGGGCAAGCGUUGUCCGGAAUCAUUGGGCGUAAAGCGCAUGUAGGCGGCCACGUAAGUCGGAUGUGAAGUCCCGGGGCUCAACCCCGGAACUGCAUCCGAGACUGCGUGGCUUAAGGAAGGUAGAGGAGAGUGGAAUUCCCGGUGUAGCGGUGGAAUGCGCAGAUAUCGGGAGGAACACCAGCGGCGAAGGCGGCUCUCUGGGCCUCUCCUGACGCUGAGAUGCGAAAGCGUGGGUAGCGAACAGG